This 106-nucleotide small nucleolar RNA is filed under the name Dichanthelium oligosanthes. RNAcentral describes it as "Small nucleolar RNA snoR97". It matches the Rfam family "Small nucleolar RNA snoR97". Lineage: Eukaryota; Viridiplantae; Streptophyta; Magnoliopsida; Poales; Poaceae. The record is from Rfam by way of RNAcentral.
UGAUUCUGAUUUGCGCCGAGGCUGAAAAGCUCGGGAGAUUUUGUGUUGUCAUGGACUUCAUCUCUUUGCAAUGGUGAGAUGGGAGUUAAGUAACAGCAAAAGAUUC